CAACGUGGGUAACCUGCCCAAGAGACUGGGAUAACACCUGGAAACAGAUGCUAAUACCGGAUAACAACACUAGACGCAUGUCUAGAGUUUAAAAGAUGGUUCUGCUAUCACUCUUGGAUGGACCUGCGGUGCAUUAGCUAGUUGGUAAGGUAACGGCUUACCAAGCAAUGAUGCAUAGCCGAGUUGAGAGACUGAUCGGCCACAUUGGGACUGAGACACGGCCCAAACUCCUACGGGAGGCAGCAG
RNAcentral lists this ribosomal RNA (246 nucleotides) under uncultured bacterium. Its description in RNAcentral is "partial 16S ribosomal RNA". It matches the Rfam family "Bacterial small subunit ribosomal RNA", at positions 113 to 354 of the family's 1533-position model. The record is from RNAcentral.